RNAcentral lists this small nuclear RNA (107 nucleotides) under Carlito syrichta (Philippine tarsier). Lineage: Eukaryota; Metazoa; Chordata; Mammalia; Primates; Tarsiidae. The record is from RNAcentral.
GUGCUUGCUUCGGCAGCACAUAUACUAAAAUUGGAAUGAUACAGAGAAGAUUCGCAUGGCCCCUGCACAAGGAUGACAUGCAAAUUCACGAAGCAUUCCAUAUUUAG